UUAUAUCGCGUUGAAUCGCCGGUUUUCGUCUGAUCACCCAAGUUAAGCAAUAUCAAGCCUGGUCACUACCUAGAUGGAUGACUGCUUGGGAAUAUCAGGUUCUGUAAG
Non-coding RNA from Acanthosepion pharaonis, 108 nucleotides. The record is from the annotation of a GenBank genome assembly. Lineage: Eukaryota; Metazoa; Mollusca; Cephalopoda; Sepiida; Sepiidae.